UGAGGAAUAUUGCGCAAUGGGCGAAAGCCUGACGCAGCGACGCCGCGUGGAGGAUGAAGGUCUUCGGAUUGUAAACUUCUGUUACGUGGGAAGAAAAGUUUGUUUCUAAUACAAGCAAUAAUGACGGUACCACUAGAGAAAGCACCGGCUAACUUCGUGCCAGCAGCCGCGGUAAUACGAGGGGUGCAAGCGUUAUUCGGAAUGACUGGGCGUAAAGGGUGCGUAGACGGUAUAUUAAGUCUGUCGUUAAAUUCUUCAGCCUAACUGAAGACCAGCGAUGGAAACUGAUAUUCUGGAGGAUGAAAGAGAGAAGUGGAAUUCUCGGAGUAGCGGUAAAAUGCGUAGAUCUCGAGAGGAACACCAAUGGCGAAAGCAGCUUCUUGGUUCAUUCCUGACGUUGAGGCACGAAAGCGUGGGGAGCAAACAGG
This 428-nucleotide ribosomal RNA is filed under the name uncultured bacterium. RNAcentral's name for it is "bacterial SSU rRNA". It matches the Rfam family "Bacterial small subunit ribosomal RNA", at positions 355 to 776 of the family's 1533-position model. The record is from RNAcentral.